UACGGAGGGUGCGAGCGUUAUCCGGAAUUACUGGGUUUAAAGGGUGCGUAGGCGGCCAAGUAAGUCAGGAGUGAAAGUUUGCGGCUCAACCGUAAAAUUGCUUUUGAUACUGCUAGGCUGGAAUUAGGAUGAGGUCAGCGGAAUGUGGCAUGUGGCGGUGAAAUGCAUAGAUAUGCCAUAGAACACCAAUUGCGAAGGCAGCUGGCUAGACCUGGAUUGACGCUGAGGCACGAAAGCGUGGGGAGCGAACAGG
This 253-nucleotide ribosomal RNA is filed under the name uncultured bacterium. RNAcentral's name for it is "partial 16S ribosomal RNA". It matches the Rfam family "Bacterial small subunit ribosomal RNA", at positions 524 to 776 of the family's 1533-position model. The record is from RNAcentral.